UCCUCGAUGGUCUAACGGUCAUGAUUUCCGCUUGUCAUCUCUUCGAGAACAAGCGCGGGAGACCUGGGUUCGACUCCCAGUCGGGGAG
RNAcentral lists this transfer RNA (88 nucleotides) under Aspergillus coremiiformis. It matches the Rfam family "tRNA". Rfam says of the family: Transfer RNA (tRNA) molecules are approximately 80 nucleotides in length. Their secondary structure includes four short double-helical elements and three loops (D, anti-codon, and T loops). Lineage: Eukaryota; Fungi; Ascomycota; Eurotiomycetes; Eurotiales; Aspergillaceae. The record is from Rfam by way of RNAcentral.